Mus musculus (house mouse) is the source of this 405-nucleotide long non-coding RNA. RefSeq annotates it as RIKEN cDNA 4922502H24 gene. The transcript has 3 exons. Lineage: Eukaryota; Metazoa; Chordata; Mammalia; Rodentia; Muridae. The record is from RefSeq and is marked validated.
GUAACUGAUCAUGAGGCCCAACAUGCAUGAGCCAUCCUGAGUCUCCUUCCUCCGUAGGAUGGAGCCUAUAGUACUCAGCAGAGUCAGAUUAUGACCCUCCUGCCUCAAGUUCCCAAGUGCUACGAUUAUAGACAUGAGCCACCACACCUGACCACAGAUACAUAAAGUGAGUGGUCAUGUGAAACUGAAGAAAUAAAUGUUCAAGUUCUCCGCAGCCAAAGAACACUAAGAAAUGCUAGGAAGUCACCAGAAGGUUGGUAGAGUCGGAGAACAAGAGGGAACCUCCCCAAUGACACCAUAGUGCUGUGUUUCUACCUUGAUCUUAAGGAAAUUGUAGCAAACUGAAAGUGUCUCCUCUUCCUGUCUUCAUUGUCCAUCUACAUAAUAAAAAUAUUUUGUUCAAGU